UAGGGAAUCUUCCACAAUGGACGCAAGUCUGAUGGAGCAACGCCGCGUGAGUGAAGAAGGUCUUCGGAUCGUAAAGCUCUGUUGUUGGUGAAGAAGGAUAGAGGCAGUAACUGGUCUUUAUUUGACGGUAAUCAACCAGAAAGUCACGGCUAACUACGUGCCAGCAGCCGCGGUAAUACGUAGGUGGCAAGCGUUGUCCGGAUUUAUUGGGCGUAAAGCGAGCGCAGGCGGAAUGAUAAGUCUGAUGUGAAAGCCCACGGCUCAACCGUGGAACUGCAUCGGAAACUGUCAUUCUUGAGUGCAGAAGAGGAGAGUGGAACUCCAUGUGUAGCGGUGGAAUGCGUAGAUAUAUGGAAGAACACCAGUGGCGAAGGCGGCUCUCUGGUCUGCAACUGACGCUGAGGCUCGAAAGCAUGGGUAGCGAACAGGAUUAGAUACCCUGGUAGUCCAUGCCGUAAACGAUGAGCUGCUGGAGUUGUC
This 480-nucleotide ribosomal RNA is filed under the name uncultured bacterium. RNAcentral's name for it is "partial 16S ribosomal RNA". It matches the Rfam family "Bacterial small subunit ribosomal RNA", at positions 355 to 827 of the family's 1533-position model. The record is from RNAcentral.